Molecule: long non-coding RNA, 324 nt
Organism: Amphiprion ocellaris (clown anemonefish)
Lineage: Eukaryota; Metazoa; Chordata; Actinopteri; Pomacentridae
Source: Ensembl
AGACAAGCUACAGCUCAGUUCUGUCACUAAGCAACAGAACAUACAUACAUUAUUGACCUUUCAUUCACUGCAGAGGACGAGGGGUCACUUUGUGUUCUGUUGUUUUUCAGAUGGAGGUUCUGACCUCUCAUCCCCCAAAGAGACAUGAGCCCUGCAGUGAGAAUGGGAAUUCACAUUCAGAUGAUGGUGGUUCAGAACUCUUAUCCCCUGAGAUGAGAUGUGAGCCCUGCAGUGAGGACGGAAGUUCAGUUUUAGAUGAUCAGCGUCCAGGAACACAUCUGGUUAACAGAACCCCACAAAAGAAGAAGAGGAAGAAAAAGAGAG